RNAcentral lists this ribosomal RNA (253 nucleotides) under uncultured bacterium. Its description in RNAcentral is "partial 16S ribosomal RNA". It matches the Rfam family "Bacterial small subunit ribosomal RNA", at positions 524 to 776 of the family's 1533-position model. The record is from RNAcentral.
UACGUAGGGGGCUAGCGUUGUCCGGAAUCAUUGGGCGUAAAGCGCGUGUAGGCGGUCCGGUAAGUCCGCUGUGAAAGUCGGGGGCUCAACCCUCGGAUGCCGGUGGAUACUGUCGGGCUUGAGUACGGAAGAGGCGAGUGGAAUUCCUGGUGUAGCGGUGAAAUGCGCAGAUAUCGGGAGGAACACCAAUGGCGAAGGCAGCUUGCUGGGACGGUACUGACGCUGAGACGCGAAAGCUAGGGGAGCGAACGGG